CUAUUCCUACACAUUAUUUCUCCAAAAGUUGCCACAUAGCAACUUUCCCUUCAUAGUUGAAUGUGGGCUUCACCUCGAACUAGUUCAAGUCCUUCCUCUUCCUUUUUCUUCGGCUGUUACUUUCGUUCAUCGGCAAGAUGAAUCCCACCUCUCAUCAUCCAUUUUUUUAUCGUUAUUUUUUCUUGUUUUAUCGAUGUUUUCUAUUUUUUAAUUUCUCUAAUUAGCUACUCGUCGCAUCGCACGAGUUACUACGUUAUUUGUACAUAAUUGUACUUAUCUAUACCUAUACAUUAAUCCCCAAAAGAAAUGCCACAUGACUGUGUUUUCUUCACUGUUGGCUUUCACCUUAUUAAACCAACUCUUCGCUACGCACAUAACGUCAAAUUAACGAGUCCACCCAACUUAACCAUAUCUAAACCGUAAACUUAGAAACCCACACAAAAAGCCCAACCCUUCGUCUUUCCUUCACAUAUAAUGUUUAAUUAAUGCGUCCACCCACCCUAACCCUAAUAUAAUCGUAAACCAUACAAACUCACAUAAAAGCCCCUUUUCUCCUAUGCAUGUCAUAAAAAUAAAAGCCUACUCAUUUUUUAUAAUAAAUUAUGACCUCCUUCAUUU
Molecule: long non-coding RNA, 618 nt
Filed under: Ananas comosus (pineapple)
Lineage: Eukaryota; Viridiplantae; Streptophyta; Magnoliopsida; Poales; Bromeliaceae
Description: long non-coding RNA (ACOM_LNC005235)
Source: RNAcentral